AAACCAGGAUGUGGGCAUCUUUAAACCAACGUCUUAAACCAUUCCCAAGCUUCGAGAAAACUUUCUCCUUCUAGUUGUUUAAACAUGACAAUCUCCUUCUUGAGUUG
This is a non-coding RNA of Gossypium arboreum, 107 nucleotides long. The record is from Rfam. NCBI's taxonomy places the organism in Eukaryota, Viridiplantae, Streptophyta, Magnoliopsida, Malvales, Malvaceae.